RNAcentral lists this long non-coding RNA (7790 nucleotides) under Solanum tuberosum (potato). Its description in RNAcentral is "long non-coding RNA (STUB_LNC007541)". The record is from RNAcentral. Lineage: Eukaryota; Viridiplantae; Streptophyta; Magnoliopsida; Solanales; Solanaceae.
UUUCAAUGCUAUAAAUAACAGGAUAGAUUGUUUGUAGUAUAUCACAUAUAUAUCCCUUCAUCACUAACAAACUAGUACUAUUAUUUUUAAAGGCAUCUUAGAAAUGGCUCAAAUAUAUCAUUUUCGUCCCUACAACAGGCCGAUAGAAUUAGCAAUGCCGGUAACUAGCCUCUGUUUGAAUAGAGAGUUAGAAAAUGAUGACGACGACGAUGAUGAUGGAAAAAAAGUGGCACCUGCAGCGUAACGUUAGUUCAUGUGUUUCCGUUAUAAAUAGGAAUCCUUGUUUAAGUCUUUCUAAGUACUUGAUCUUCUAUAUAUGAUAAUUUAAGUGUCUUUCUUUUCUCUUCGAAUUGUAUUAAAUAGAGUGUCUCUUUUCUAAGUCUUUCUAAGUAUUCCUUAUAUAUCUAAUUUAAGUGUCUUACUUUUCUCUUUGAUAUGUAUCAAAUAUAUAUAGUGUUUCUUUCUAUAUUUAACUCUUAAUUUCUAAGUACUUGAUCUUUUGUAUCUGAUAAUUUAAGUAUCUUACUUUUCUUUUUGAUAUGUAUUUAAAUAGAGUGUUUCUUUCUAUAUUAAGUAUUUCUAAGUACUCUUGUUGUAUCCAAUUUAAGUGUCUUACUUUUUUCUUUAAUUUGAUUGUAUCAAAUAUAUAUAUAUAUAUAUAUAUAUAUAGUGUCUCUUUCUAUAUUUAAGUCUUUCUGAGUACUCCUUAUGUCUCUAAUUUAAGUGUCUUAUUUUUCUCUUUGAUACGUAUUAAAUAGAACUAGUUCUCGAACACGUGUGUUGCACGUGCAUCUACGCACGUGUAUGUCAUACUAAUCAGUAUUAAUGUUUAGAAAUGAUAUAAAUAAUACUGAAGUAUGUAUGUGAUGAAUAUCAUAGGAGAAAAAUACAAGUACAAAUUGAUAAAUGAUUUGCCACAAUUUGUUCACCAACUCUUUUUUGUGUGAUACCUCAAAUUUCGUUGAACUUCGAACUUAUUCAACUGUUGCAAAUCACACUUGAGAUUUUUUAAGAAUAAGAAGAGUAGAAAAGUUAAAAAAAAUUGUAGUUUAAAAAUGAGAGAAAACUCAUAUAUUUAUAGCUAACAAAUGGUAGUAUAAAUAGCUAGGUGCUAAUUGUGUCUUAUUAAUUAGAAAAGUCACAACCCGUCGAAAAAGUUACAGCUCAUCAGAAAAGUCACAACCUUUGAAAAAGUCACAAUCCUUCGAAAAGUUACAACCCUUAGGGAAAGUCACAAUCCUUUAAAAAAGUCGCAACCUUUCGAAAAAGUACAAUCCUUCAAUGUAAAAAAGGUUUCUAUUUUAAUAUAAUAUAAUUAAUAAAUAUAAAAUAUACUAAAUUGAGUGUUUUUACUUGGGGAUAUUAUAGUAAUUUAAUAUUCAAGUUUGGAAGUUCAUACUUUAUAUAUAUAUAUAUAUAUAUAUAUAUAAAUAGAUAAUUGAAUCGUUUAAAGGAUUACGCGCAUCCUUAAUUUAAAAUCACAAGAUUUCAAAAUCUUUUUUUAUUUCGUAAAUUUAUGUUUAAUUAAAUUAAGAUAUUUAAAUUAAGACGAAAAAUAUACUAAUUAAUGUAGUGGCAUGAAUCUACUACCUAAACAUGUAAUUCUCAUGAUUUUUACAAGGUUGUGUGUAAUUUAAUUAGGUUCAGGUGCAUUUGCAAAUUGUGGUACUUUCUCGUCAGAUUUCUAACUGUAGGCGUAGACAAAAAAUUCAUUAAGAGAGUUUAAAAAAAAAAAUCGAUAGUAAUAACAAAUGAACGAGUCAAAUUAGAUAUAACCAGAUUAGACAAACUACGAAUAAUAUAUCCGACCCAACCAUAUUUCAUAUGGAUUAACGAAUAUAGAAUGAGUGACGGAUAAAUAUAUAUAUGUCUUCGUAUUAUUCAAUAUUUAUGACUUUUUGAAUAAUUGUAAUGUUGGAAAAAUUCCUAUAUAGUCAAAUCUUCAACAUUGACCAUUUAUUGCAAUAAAAUACUGCUACCAUAGCCACAAAAUAUCCCUCGCAGGUAGUUGGUUUUCGAUGCUCAAUGUCAUUUCUUCCGCAACAAAAAAACUUUUUACCAGCAAUAAAUAUAUAUAUUAAAAAAGUCCUAGAAUAUUUAUCAGUAUUAAUUAAUUGUCAUUAAAUUUAAUAUCGUUAUAAGUUUUAGGAAUAUCGAACAUUUAUAAAGAAUAUUAUUUACCUUUAAAAACUAUUUAUAGUAGCAAUUAAAUUAUUUUUAUUAAUUAAUUACCGCUAAAUAUUAUAUUUGGUGUGAUGUCCAUAGUAGGUGCAAUUUGUGUGUACCUUGUCUCAAUGAGUAAGGAAUUUAUUUAAAAUUGUAUUUGAGUUAUAAAAAGAAAUAUAAGUUUUCAAAUGAAAAAAUAUAUCCUAUAUAACUAACUCAAUGAAGGAAUAAAUUGUCUCAUAUAUAGCAAUUCUCAAUUAUCAGUCAACAAUUCAAUUAAGAAUUUAUUCCAAACUUUAUAAUAUUAUAACUUCAAUUUAACAAUCUCAGUAUCAUGUUUAAUAAAUGUUCAAUUAAUUUGGUCUGUCUGUUAGGUUGAUAAGAAGAGUACUUGGAGACCAAAAUACCCCAAAUCCUAACUCUUACCUAUAUAAAGGGAUUUUUCUAAGAUCAAAGAAACAAAGAAGAAAUACAUAUCUAUAGAGAAGCUCUGCUCUUUUAUGGUGAUCUGCAAGUCUUUCGCAUACAAAGAGAAGUCUUUGUGCAAGUUUGCAUACCUCCACGAUUAUGACCAAAACUUGGUUCCAUAUUUGUGAUGAAGUUUCAACAAGUAUUCUAUCGAUUCAAGAACAAAGCAAAGCAACGAUCUUCAAGUAGAUUAUCUAGAAAAAGCAGUUGACUCUUAAAUAAAUGGGGAAUUUUCGCAUAUAUAGCCACUUAAAAAUAGUUUAAUUAUUCUUCAUAGCUAUAGUUUGUUAAUUGCAAUUUGAAGCUACAUGUUAGAGGUAGGAUAGAGGCGAGCGAGAUUGGGAGAGGGAGGAGGGGCGAGUGAGAGAUGGCAGAGAGUAGAGAGAGACGAAUUGUAUAUAUAAAUCUAUCAAAUAAUUGUAUAUAUGUAACUGGUAUACAUAUGUGUUUGUAUAUCUAGCAAGCGAGAUUAGGAGAGGGAGGAGAGAAGUGAGCGAGAGAGGGCAAAGAGUGGAGAGAGGCGAACUGUAUAUGUAUAUAUGUCAGAUAAAUUGUAUAUAUGUAAUUGGUAUACAUAUGUAUUUGUAUAUUUGGCGAGCGAGAAUUAGAGAGAGAGAAAUGAGAGAGGAGAGAGGCGAGCGAGAUUGGGAGAGGGAUGAGAGAGGGCAGAGAGUGGAGAGAGGCUAAUUAUAUCUAUAUAUCCGUCAUAUAAUUGUAUAUUUAUAUGUGUAAUUUAUAUUUGAUAAUUUGUAUUUGUAUAUGUAUAAAAGAGGAGAGAGGCGAGAGAGAAGAAGAGAGGAGAGAGGCGACGAAAAUAUAGCUAAAAUAAAGCUGCAAGACGUAAUUAAUUCAAAUUAUAGCUAUGUAAAUUAACUAGUAUAUGUUUGCUUAUCCGCAUAAUUUUUCCUUAAAUAAAUAACCUAGCAACAAAUUAUCUUCUAUGACUUCUAAUUCAUAAAAAAAACAAAUUACAUGACCAGAAACAAUUAUUAAAACAUAAAGACUUGAAACUACUAACACAUAUUUCUAAAGUGUUAUUUUUGCACAUGCUCAACUUCCCAUAGAUAGCUAUCAAUCCUUACAGAUUGAUCUCAUACAAAUGAAAACUUUAAGGCAUAAGCAAAGGAAGUAUUGACUGUAUUGUUUUGUAUAGAAUUGAUCCGGUUAAGAUAUUAUAAUUAAUUUUACUUAUCAAGUUGAACUUGUAUAUUUGUGCAAAAUUAUAUUUAUAUAGUUUUUAUUUAAAUCUUAUUUUUUGUGGAGCAGCUAUUGGCUGCGAUUUGAAACGGUGGACCGAGCUUAAUCUCCCCGCAGCUCUUAAUUUUAUUCAUUAAUUUAAAGAUUACAUCUGACAUCACUAUACGGUGAUAAAUUUAAAAACAACACACAUCUUUCUAAAGUGAGAAACAAAUAGAAAGGAAAUGCUUAGUCCACUAACAAAUAUAACAUAUUAUUAACAGCUUAGUAAAAUUCUUGAAAAGAAAAAAACGGAUUUUUUUUUUUUUUGAAGUUUGCCAAUAUUGGUUACAAAUAAAAUAAUUUAAAAAUUAUUAUAAUUUUCCUUUUUUUUUUUUUUUUUUUUUUUGCAUGUCUUUGUCUUUUGACUAGCUUUGACUAUAUUUUCCUAUGUGGCAAAUUAAAGCGUGUGCAUGAAAGGGAAUAAGUACGUGUAGAUUGUGAAAAUUUUUUUUUUUUUUUUUUUUUUUUUUUUUUUUUGCAUGUCUUUGUCUUUUGACUAGCUUUGACUAUAUUUUCCUAUGUGGCAAAUUAAAGCGUGUGCAUGAAAGGGAAUAAGUACGUGUAGAUUGUGAAAACCAAACAUCUUCCAUGAGCUUACCUCAUGUCAUUCCAUUUCCUCAAUAUUGUUUAUGUGUACACUAAGUCACCAAUCCACCCUCUCACAUUUUCCUCUCAUCUUUUCUAAAUUUUCACUCAUUUUGUGCAAAAAGCAAAUCUCAAAAAGUUAAAAGAUUCAAAUAACCUUUUAUCAAAAAUGAUUUUUAGUGGCAAUGAUUUAAUUAUCACUUUAGAGGUAGUUGCUAGAGACAAUUACAUUUUAGCAUUUUUUGUAAUGACACUAAAGUCUAUAGCUAUAUUGAAUCUAAUGGCAAUGCUGGAGUGCAUAUUUAAUGCUGCUAAAAGCUGAUUUUGUUGUAGAUGCAUGAUAGGCUGACAACUCUCUUUAGAAAGUAACAGCUCAAUAUUUUCUCCAAAUGUCACUCAUUCUGUUGCUAUAAAUACUAGGACAAAGAGGAGGAGCUGGUAUCACCCUCAUAACUAAUUAACAACUAGGUCUUAAUAUUUAAGUUUUUAUUUAUUUCAAAUUAAAAUGGUGAUUGUGAAGGGAAAUGCAUCGUCUUUUCGCCCCGAAAGGAUGGAAGCAAGGCUUGUGAUUAGCUUCUGUUUGAAUAGAAAGUAUGAAGGUGAUGAUGACGACGACGAUGACGGAAAAAAAGUGGCACCUGCAGCAUAAUUUCAUAGUAUGUUGCUUUGAAACCAUGAAGCCAGUCAUGACGGUCAAGUUAAUUAGCACUUGUGUUCUCCUUUAGUCUUUCUAUUAAUUAAAAAAAUAUAUACUAUAGUAGUGAUGACAAUGAGAUAAUAUGUAGUGUUUUCUCAAUUAGCAAGGUUUGGGUCGAUUCAAUAAUAAUUGUGUACUUAUUUUAUGAUGUGAAAUAAAAAUUACAAAUUAAUUUAUGUAAUAUUAAUAGAGUCAAAUUUUAUUAAUCAAUUUUCUAUUCCUAGAGCAUAGCAUAUCCAUGCAAAAAAUGACUAUUAAAGAAUAAUAUUAGGAAUAUUAGGCAAAACUUUUCAAUUUAUUGUCUUCUUUUUCUCAUUAUAUCAGCAAUAGAUCUUUUUAUUAAUUUAGGAGUUAAUUAUAUAUCUAGAACUCCAAAUAUUUCAUAUCAAAAUUGAACCAUGUUUUAAAUUAUACACCAUUUGUUAAUUAAUCUUACGAUUUAAAAAAAAAAAAAAACGCCAUCACCAGGAUCGUGAGCCCUUAGCCUGGGAUUAGGCUUGACUCCUAUCAUAUCUAUUCGUUCAAAAAAAGAUACAAAGUUAGAGAGGGACAAGAUCAUACCUCUAACAAAAAAAAUCAACUACAAAAAAUAUUUUCAAAAAAGAGCAAUAAUGGAAAAAUAGCAUUUUAUUGAUGCUCUAAAAUAUUUUUCUUUAAGAGGUGCGUCAUAAUCCAACAAUUUACUUAAUAUGGACUAAAGAAAUAGCGUUUUUUUUCUCCAUCUUAGCUACCUUUAGAUUGAAGCUUAUUGCUCCCCUCUUUCCUUUUGCAUCGUCUUGUAAUUAGAGGUAAGAUUUAAUCCCCUUUUGUAUUCUUCUACUUAAAUAAUAUAUAUAAAAAAAAAGUAAAAGGAGGGAGGUAGAAACUAACUUAUCAAGAGUUGGUGGUUCAAUUUAUCGCUAUAAUAUCUUUCGCAUCAGAUAUGUACUUUAUGACGCUUUUAAGUGAGAUUAUCAUGUUCAAUAUCAUGAUAUGUAUAUUUUAUUUACAUUUGAUGCAUAAAUAUCACUACUUAAAAAUAGCUGAAAAACGACGGUCAAAAGUAACAGAAAAAUGACGCAAUCACUUUUGUCGCUUUUGUCUUUAACGCUUUUCAAAAAGCGAUGGACGGUGUCAUACAAAACGAGGAAUGUGUCGUUAUUGUUAUUUAACUUAUUUAAAAAAAAAUGAAAUAAGCAACGUCGUUUGUCGCUUUCUUCAAUGUGAUAGAACUAGCUAGCAAGGCCGGUAAUUAGCUUAUGUUUGAAUAGAGAGUUUGAAAGUGAUGAUGAUGGAGCAAAAAUGGUACUUGUAGCGUAACGUUAGUUCAUGUGUUUCCGUUAUAAAUAGGAAUCGUUAUUUAAGUCUUUAUGAGUACUUUUUCUAUAUCUAAUUAAAUGUUUUACUUUUCUCUUUGAUCUCUAUUAAAUAGAGUGUUUCUUUUUAUAUUUCAGUCUUCCUUUUGUAUCCAAUUUUAGUGUUAUAGUUACUUUUAUGUUUGAUCUGUAUCAAAUAGAGUGUCUCUUUCUAUAUUUAAGUCUUUAAUUUUUAAGUAUACUUCUCCAAUUUAAAUGUCUUAGUUUUUUCUUUGAUCUAUAUCAAAUGAGUGUCUCUUUCUAUAUUUAAGUCUUUAAUUUCUAAGUAUACUUCUCCAAUUUAAGUGUCUUAGUUUUUUCUUUGAUCUUUAUCGAAUAUAGGUCUCUUUAUAUGUUCAAGUCUUUUUAAGUACUCCUUCUGUCUCCAAUUUAAGUAUCUUACUUUUCUGUUUGAUAUGUAUUAAAUAGAGUGUCUUUUUUCUAUAUUUAGAAAGUAUUUCAAUUUCAAGAUUGUACAUGACAAAUUUAAGACCACUAAAUCAUUUAAAAGACUAUACGCAUCGUUAAUUUAAAAUCACAAAAUUUAAAAGUUUAUUUUACUAACUAGUUUUGACCAUAUAUUUCUAUGUGGCAAAUCAAAGAGUGUGCAUGAAAGGGAAUAUGUAUGUGUAAGAUCGUGAAAGCCAAACAUCUUCCAUGAGCUUACCUCAUGCCAUUUCAUUUCCUCAACAAUUAAUGUGUAUGUGUCCACAAAUUCACCAAUCCACCCUCUCACAUUUUCCUCUCAUCUUUUCUAAUUUCACUCAUUUUGCAAAAAGCAAAUCUCAAAAAGUUAAAGGAUUCAAACAACCACUCCAUCAAAAAUGAUUUUUAGCUGCAAUUAUUAGUGACAAUUUCAUCUUAGCACUUUUUGUAAAUGCUGCUUAAUUAAAGCCUAUAACAACAUUGAAUCUAAUGGAAAUGCUGAUAUAAAGAUUUUAGCACUCUUUGUUGUGCAUAUUUAUUAACGCUAAAAAUUGAGUAUUAAAAAUGCAUGCAGGCCUAUAACUCUCUUUAGAAAGUAAUGGGUCGAUAUUUUCUCCAAAUGUCAUACAUUCCAUUGCUAUAAAUACUAGGACUAAGAGGAGGAGCUAGUAUCACCCUCAUCAGUCAUCACUAAUUAAACACUAGGGCUUUAUAUCUAAGUUUUUAUAUUGUUCAAAUUAAAAUGGUGAUUGUGAACAGGAAUACAUCGCCUUUGCGUCCCUUCAGGGUAGAAGCAAGGCCUAUAAUUAGCUUCUGUUCGAAUAGAGAGUUUGAAGGUGAUGAUGAUGGAGCAAAAGUGGCACCUGCAGCGUAAC